UCUCUAUUUCAAGGUCCCUUUCCAGCUCUGCCAUUCUAUGGCUGUGACCCUUCAGGCUUUGCUCUGCUUUAGCUAAUCUGAUUAGCUAAUUCCCGCUGAGACGUUACUGGUUCUGAGGCUGCUUGAGUCCCCCAGGUAGGAUAGCUGCUGCUGCAGCACCAAGGGCCUUCAGUCCUCCAGUCCUCCUGUGCUGAACCCAGGAGGCCUCAGACACUGGGACUCCCAGCAGGGAGAGGCAUUUGGGGUGUUGAGGAAUAGGUCUUCUUUCCUAAGCCUCGCCUCUACACCCAGCCCCCCUUCACUUCAGAGUUUACUUUCUAGCUUCCGUGGCCUUUGGCCAAGCAGUGUUUCAUUAGAGCUGUAAAACCCUGGGCUUCUCUGCUCCCACCUCCCCCUCCUCCCUCUUCUCCCUGCAGUGUCUCAUUCCAGCCAGGAAAGCUGCCUGAUGAGCUGGUUUCGCAGAGGUAUUUUUAUGCCUUGAGCUUUCUGAAAUGGGCAGGAAACAGGAAAGGAUAAACCCAGCACCCGUUAAUUAAAUCCCAGCGCGGCUGAUGCUUCCCAGGAAGAAUGUCCAAACUCUUUAGUUUGGCCUUCGAGAGUUUCCAUGGUCUGGGGACUCUUCCCUUCUGAAGGGCAUAACCACAGAGAGAGCCAGAGCCCAGUUUGUCACCUGCAUUAUAUACCUUUAGUCUUUGGAAAAAGCUUUUAUGUUUUAAGGUUUCUUUUUAAAUGUGAAGACCACAGGAGGGUUUACAAGCUCUGGGUAAGUUUCUUCUUAGCUUGUCUCUCCUUGGGCUAAAAACUCUUCAGUGACUCCCAUUGCUUGCAAAAUCGAUUCCAGUUCCUUGCCCUGGCAUUAAAAGCCUUCCAUAAAUCAGGCUCUGACCUCCCUUGCCAGCCUUCUGGGCUCUAUACUCAAAGCACUCUUCUACCUAGGCUGUUUACCCGGCACACCCCGACUGAUUUCCUCUGCCUGACUCUUUAUACCAUUCCCAUUGGCUGGAAUGCUCUUUCCCA
Molecule: long non-coding RNA, 1017 nt
Filed under: Phascolarctos cinereus (koala)
Lineage: Eukaryota; Metazoa; Chordata; Mammalia; Diprotodontia; Phascolarctidae
Description: lncRNA (ENSPCIG00000022479.2)
Source: RNAcentral